This is a long non-coding RNA of Oryzias melastigma (Indian medaka), 1125 nucleotides long. RefSeq lists it as uncharacterized. The transcript is spliced from 3 exons. The record is from RefSeq and is a predicted model, not a curated record. Lineage: Eukaryota; Metazoa; Chordata; Actinopteri; Beloniformes; Adrianichthyidae.
UUCCUGCACUUCCGUGUGUCACAGUGAUAUUUGUCCCCGGUAGAAAAACUUACAGGGUGGAGCAGCUGCCAGCACCACCGCAGCAAAAGAUGGAGCUCGUUGUAGGUGAAAGAUAGAGUAAUGGAGCUUCAUCCACCACCCACAGCCAUUGUAGCUUCACCUCGCCUGUUGCCUUCGUAAGCCAACAACACACCGCUCAGGGUUGGGCUUUAUGGCGAGUCUGUCGUAUCUUGUGCUCCGGUUUUCGGGCUCCGCUGGUCGGACUUACGGACUGUUCUCCAAAGGCUUGACGAGGACUUUGUUGAUAUUUUUUGAUCUCGCUUGGCGGCUGAGAAUACGAUUCCCCUACUUUUACUUGGUGGCCUCAAUGAUGUUCAACGUCAGAUUACAGGUCCACAUAGAAAUCCAUUGAGUCGUCAGUGUGAAACCUUUGGGCUUUAAGCAGUGAACGGUGCCCUCAUAAAGAUCUGCUGCCUUUGCCAGUCAAAGGUGGUCAGGAUGUGUGGAACCGGAGCGCCCGAUGAGGACCGACUGAUGGAUGUGGACAGAAAAUAAGCCUCGUAGUUACUGAUCAGUUUACUCAGACUGUGAAACUGCCCCGUUCCCUCUCUGAAUAUGAAAUGCGAUGAUUGUCACUUGUUUGUCGCUCAUUUGUCCGAUGUGUCUCAGGUCGCACUUUGUGACACCUCACAGCCAAAAUCUGGAUGCACUUUGCUUUCCUCCUAGAAAGGUUUAUAUUCACAGCAUGACAUAAACAAGCUUGUUUUUUCUCUUGUGACUCAGACACUUUAUGAGGGGGGAGAUUAGUUAUACAGGCGGUACGUGUUUUUGUUUUCUUUACAGAUAUUUAAGGGAAUCUGAACUGCUUGGACUGGAAAUCUUGCAUGUACAGGAUAACCAGAAAUGUUACACAGGAUUUUUCUCAUCAACAGGUUUUCCCUUCUGUGAUUCUGUAUCUCAGUCUGACUGGAGAGGUGAAUUAAUUAUUUCUUACAUUUUUGUAUAUCAGUUUGUUUGGUUUAGUGUCGAGAUAUUUUUAAGGUCUGAGCACUGACCUUUUAUUUACAGUCUGUUGCACCAAUGAAAAUAGUUGAACUUUGAUGAAAUAAAUGAAUGAGAGCAACA